AGAGUUUGAUCCUGGCUCAGAAUGAACGCUGGCGGCGUGCUUAACACAUGCAAGUCGCACGAGAACGCUUCAGCUUGCUGAAGUUAGUAAAGUGGCGCACGGGUGAGUAACACGUGGAUAACCUACCUAAGGUUCUGGAACAACAUUGCGAAAGCGAUGCUAAUACCGGAUGAAAUGUAUUUCUCUUCGGAGGUUUACAUGAAAGAGUGCCUCUAUUUAUAAGCAUUUGACAUUAGAUGGGUCCGCGGAUCAUUAGCUUGUUGGUGGGGUAAUGGCCUACCAAGGCGACGAUGAUUAGCUGGUCUGAGAGGAUGAUCAGCCACACUGGAACUGACACACGGUCCAGACUCCUACGGGAGGCAGCAGUGAGGAAUUUUGCGCAAUGGGCGAAAGCCUGACGCAGCAACGCCGCGUGAGUGAAGAAGGCUCUUGGGUCGUAAAGCUCUGUCAACAGGGAAGAAACAGUUUGUGGUUAAUAGCUGCAAGCCUUGACGGUACCUGUGAAGGAAGCACCGGCUAACUCCGUGCCAGCAGCCGCGGUAACACGGGGGGUGCAAGCGUUAUUCGGAAUUAUUGGGCGUAAAGCGCAUGUAGGCGGAAAAGUCAGUCAGAUGUGAAAGCCCGGGGCUCAACCCCGGAAGUGCAUUUGAAACAGCUUUUCUUGAGUACUGGAGAGGAAAGUGGAAUUCCUGGUGUAGAGGUGAAAUUCGUAGAUAUCAGGAGGAACACCGGUGGCGAAGGCGACUUUCUGGACAGAUACUGACGCUGAGAUGCGAAGGCGUGGGGAGCGAACAGGAUUAGAUACCCUGGUAGUCCACGCAGUAAACGUUGUUCACUAGGGUUGGAGGGCUUGUUCCUUUAGUGGCGCAGCUAACGCGUUAAGUAGACCGCCUGGGGAGUACGGCCGCAAGGUUAAAACUCAAAUGAAUUGACGGGGGCCCGCACAAGCGGUGGAGCAUGUGGUUUAAUUCGAUGCAACGCGAAGAACCUUACCAGGCCUUGACAUCCUAGGAAUCUUGUAGAGAUACGAGAGUGCCUUCGGGAAUCUAGUGACAGGUGCUGCAUGGCUGUCGUCAGCUCGUGUCGUGAGAUGUUGGGUUAAGUCCCGUAACGAGCGCAACCCUUGUCCUUAGUUGCCAGCACGUAAUGGUGGGAACUCUAAGGAGACUGCCGGUGACAAACCGGAGGAAGGUGGGGACGACGUCAAGUCAUCAUGGCCCUUACGACCUGGGCUACACACGUGCUACAAUGGAACGCACAGAGGGCAGCAAACCCGCGAGGGGGAGCGAAUCCCACAAAACGUUUCGUAGUCCGGAUCGGAGUCUGCAACUCGACUCCGUGAAGUCGGAAUCGCUAGUAAUCGUGAAUCAGAAUGUCACGGUGAAUACGUUCCCGGGCCUUGUACACACCGCCCGUCACACCAUGGGAGUGGGUUGCUCCAGAAGUGGUUAGCCUAACCUUCGGGAGGGCGAUCACCACGGCGAUCACCACGGAGUGAUUCAUGACUGGGGUGAAGUCGUAACAAGGUA
RNAcentral lists this ribosomal RNA (1529 nucleotides) under uncultured prokaryote. RNAcentral describes it as "partial 16S ribosomal RNA". It matches the Rfam family "Bacterial small subunit ribosomal RNA". The record is from RNAcentral.